RNAcentral lists this ribosomal RNA (301 nucleotides) under uncultured bacterium. Its description in RNAcentral is "partial 16S ribosomal RNA". It matches the Rfam family "Bacterial small subunit ribosomal RNA", at positions 509 to 809 of the family's 1533-position model. The record is from RNAcentral.
CAGCAGCCGCGGUAAUGCGUAGGUGGCAAGCGUUGUCCGGAAUUAUUGGGCGUAAAGCGCGCGCAGGCGGAUAGGUCAGUCUGCCUUAAAAGUUCGGGGCUUAACCCCGUGAUGGGAUGGAAACUGCCAAUCUAGAGUAUCGGAGAGGAAAGUGGAAUUCCUAGUGUAGCGGUGAAAUGCGUAGAUAUUAGGAAGAACACCAGUGGCGAAGGCGACUUUCUGGACGAAAACUGACGCUGAGGCGCGAAAGCCAGGGGAGCGAACGGGAUUAGAUACCCGCGUAGUCCCUGUCUCUUAUACA